GCAAACUUGGUCAUUUAGAGGAAGUAAAAGUCGUAACAAGGUUUCCGUAGGUGAACCUGCGGAAGGAUCAUUACUGAGGUACGCUCGGUGUCGCUUCGGCGCGCCGGUUGCCCGCCCUUAUGUCAUACGUGCCGGAGCCGUCCCACCUGCCCUCGGGCGGUGGGCGGCGACGGGAACAUCACUUCGGUCGAGGUGUUGCGUCUUCGGCGGGGGGUUCUGCCCCCCGCUGGGACGCGACCGCGGCCGGCCGUAUCUUUACACUCUUUGUGAGAAGCAUGAAGUCUGAAGCAAAAUGAAAAUAAAGCAAAAACUUUCAACAACGGAUCUCUUGGCUCUGGCAUCGAUGAAGAACGCAGC
This 357-nucleotide unclassified non-coding RNA is filed under the name uncultured fungus. Its description in RNAcentral is "partial contains small subunit ribosomal RNA, internal transcribed spacer 1, and 5.8S ribosomal RNA". The stretch from base 1 to 73 matches the Rfam family "Eukaryotic small subunit ribosomal RNA", at positions 1759 to 1831 of the family's 1831-position model. Lineage: Eukaryota; Fungi. The record is from RNAcentral.